CCUACGGGGGGCAGCAGUGAGGAAUAUUGGUCAAUGGACGAGAGUCUGAACCAGCCAAGUAGCGUGAAGGAUGACUGCCCUAUGGGUUGUAAACUUCUUUUAUAUGGGAAUAAAACAGGGUAUGCAUACCCUCUUGUAUGUACCAUAUGAAUAAGGAUCGGCUAACUCCGUGCCAGCAGCCGCGGUAAUACGGAGGAUCCGAGCGUUAUCCGGAUUUAUUGGGUUUAAAGGGAGCGUAGGUGGAUUGUUAAGUCAGUUGUGAAAGUUUGCGGCUCAACCGUAAAAUUGCAGUUGAUACUAGCAGUCUAGAGUACAGUAGAGGUGAGCGGAAUUCGUGGUGUAGCGGUGAAAUGCUUAGAUAUCACGAAGAACUCCGAUUGCGAAGGCAGCUCACUGGACUGCAACUGACACUGAUGCUCGAAAGUGUGGGGAUCAAACAGGAUUAGAUACCCGGGUAGUC
RNAcentral lists this ribosomal RNA (460 nucleotides) under uncultured bacterium. RNAcentral describes it as "partial 16S ribosomal RNA". It matches the Rfam family "Bacterial small subunit ribosomal RNA", at positions 338 to 795 of the family's 1533-position model. The record is from RNAcentral.